Molecule: non-coding RNA, 380 nt
Organism: Drosophila melanogaster (fruit fly)
Lineage: Eukaryota; Metazoa; Arthropoda; Insecta; Diptera; Drosophilidae
Source: Ensembl
GUCGUGAUUGACCAGUCGUUCGCGCAUUCCAUACCGCUGCCUGAUGAUGGUGAAAAGAGAUGGUGCGAGCGCCAUAUGACCAGGCCGGCGUACAGGCCGAUGGAGACCAAGGCCAGUGCCACCACCACGAUGCCGAGCAGCACGUGUCCCUGGCUAACCGCAUCCGCCUGCACGUUCAGCGGGCUCAUCUCGAUGUUCUCGUUGGCGAAGGUUUCGGUGUCCGUGCUGAAGAUCACACCGCGUCCCUUGAAACGCUCCUCCAGAUCGUCCACGUCAUCCAUGCUACUGUCGUCUUGGUCGGCAUCGCCGGAUUCCAGGAUCUCCACAUCGUACUUGUAGUUCUGUGCCAAAACCAAAUUGGUGGCCGAGUUCAGUUGGUC